RNAcentral lists this ribosomal RNA (453 nucleotides) under uncultured bacterium. RNAcentral describes it as "bacterial SSU rRNA". It matches the Rfam family "Bacterial small subunit ribosomal RNA", at positions 335 to 802 of the family's 1533-position model. The record is from RNAcentral.
ACUCCUACGGGAGGCAGCAGUGGGGAAUAUUGCACAAUGGGGAAAGCCCAUCGAUGCAGCAACGACCGCGUGGAGGAUGACACAUUUCGGUGCGUAAACUCCUUUUAUAUAGGAAGAUAAUGACGGUACUAUAUGAAUAAGCGCCGGCUAAACUCCGUGCCAGCAGCCGCGGUAAUACGGAGGGCGCAAGCGUUACUCGGAAUCACUGGGCGUAAAGAGCGUGUAGGCGGAUAGAUAAGUCAGGAGUGAAAUCCUAUGGCUCAACCAUAGAACUGCUCUUGAAACUGUCAAUCUAGAGUAUGGGAGAGGUAGAUGGAAUUUCUGGUGUAGGGGUAAAAGUCCGUAGAGAUCAGAAGGAAUACCGAUUGCGAAGGCGAUCUACUGGAACAUAACUGACGCUGAGACGCGAAAGCGUGGGGAGCAAACAGGAUUAGAUACCCUGGUAGCGAGUAG